GACGAACGCUGGCGGCGUGCCUAAUACAUGCAAGUAGAACGCUGAAGAGAGGAGCUUACUCUUCUUGGAUGAGUUGCGAACGGGUGAGUAACGCGUAGGUAACCUGCCUUGAAGCGGGGGAUAACUAUUGGAAACGAUAGCUAAUACCGCAUAACAAUGGAUGACACAUGUCAUUUAUUUGAAAGGGGCAAUUGCUCCACUACAAGAUGGACCUGCGUUGUAUUAGCUAGUAGGUGAGGUAAUGGCUCACCUAGGCGACGAUACAUAGCCGACCUGAGAGGGUGAUCGGCCACACUGGGACUGAGACACAGCCCAGACUCCUACGGGAGGCAGCGGUAGGGAAUCUUCGGCAAUGGGGGCAACCCUGACCGAGCAACGCCGCGUGAGUGAAGAAGGUUUUCGGAUCGUAAAGCUCUGUUGUAAGUCAAGAACGGGUGUGAGAGUGGAAAGUUCACACUGUGACGGUAGCUUACCAGAAAGGGACGGCUAACUACGUG
RNAcentral lists this ribosomal RNA (497 nucleotides) under uncultured bacterium. Its description in RNAcentral is "partial 16S ribosomal RNA". It matches the Rfam family "Bacterial small subunit ribosomal RNA", at positions 28 to 507 of the family's 1533-position model. The record is from RNAcentral.